UUCAGAUGGGUGUUUUGAUGAGAAAUCUCAGUCUGGAAGUAAGAUGCCAUUCCACAAAGAUUCGUUCUCAUCUGUGAGGUUUGGCCUGGCUGAAUCAUGGUUUUCUUGCCCUCAAACAGUACCAAGUUUGAGUAGGUGAAAUCUCCCUCUGAUGGACACCUCCUACACUCUGCAAAAGCCCAGGUCACGUCACCUCCAGCUGUGGAAGAAACGGAGCUGCUCCAGAAGCUUUACCAUCUCCUGGAAGCCAAGGGGUUUCAGACAAGGAUGGAAGGAGUGGAACUCCUCCUAGACCUGUGCAAAACCAGCCCCCAGCUCAUCUCCACUAACAUUGCCCAAAUUUUUGAAUAUUUUGUCCUGAGAAUAUCUGACAGUCACAAGAAGGUGAAGCAGAGGGCACUGGACGUGCUGGCUGAAAUCACAGGAGCCCUGAAAGAUGCCUUGAACCCGGUGAUCAUUGGUUUGAUGGAGGGAAUAACAAAGAACCUGAACUCAAAGGAUCCCAGGAUUCGUGGGGCAGCUGUGAAAGCACUGGAAGAAUCCAUUGCUCAUUUGGGUAAGGCUGAGCCCUGGCAGGGACUCUCCUCAGCUUCGUGUCUGUCUCUCCCUCACAAGAGAGCGCUGAAUGCCUUGACAGCUGCUCUUGUCUGUGGAACACUGCAGCUGACACCCACCAGAGGCUGUG
Long non-coding RNA from Zonotrichia leucophrys gambelii, 685 nucleotides. RefSeq lists it as uncharacterized. Lineage: Eukaryota; Metazoa; Chordata; Aves; Passeriformes; Passerellidae. The transcript has 3 exons. The record is from RefSeq and is a predicted model, not a curated record.